RNAcentral lists this long non-coding RNA (420 nucleotides) under Nicotiana benthamiana. RNAcentral's name for it is "long non-coding RNA (NBEN_LNC041686)". The record is from RNAcentral. Lineage: Eukaryota; Viridiplantae; Streptophyta; Magnoliopsida; Solanales; Solanaceae.
AUUAGUUUAAUACCCCUAUAGUUGUUGCAGCACUGGAUGUCCCCCUUGUUCUUGUACAAGGGCACCACUGUACUCCACCGCCACUCAUCCGGCAUCCUUAGGUUAGUAACAAAUGGGAUUUUAAUAAUAUAUAAAAAGCUCAUUAGAUCAUGGAUCUAACAAGAAUUGCUUGACUGAGGUAGUGGCGAUAAGGCUUUUCUUUUCUUUCUUUCCAGUAUACCACUAUGCAACCAAAGCAAAUUAACAUAAAUUUUUUAUAAGGAUAAUUGAACAUAAAUCAAACUAGUGGGAUAAGGCUUUUCUUUUCUUUCUUUUCCAGUAUACCACUAUGCAACCAAAGCAAAUUAACAUAAUUUUUUUAUAAGGAUAAUUGAACAUAAAUCAAACCUAAUAUGAGGAGACAAGAUCGAUCGUUGAAAU